This 422-nucleotide ribosomal RNA is filed under the name uncultured eukaryote. RNAcentral's name for it is "bacterial SSU rRNA". It matches the Rfam family "Eukaryotic small subunit ribosomal RNA", at positions 592 to 1018 of the family's 1831-position model. The record is from RNAcentral.
CAAUAGCGUAUAUUAAAGUUGUUGCAGUUAAAAAGCUCGUAGUCGGAUUUUGGCAUCACGCCGAACUGUCUGCCGAUUGGUAAGUACGGUUUGGCGGGUGCUUCCUUCCGGAGGCUCGUUCCCUUCUUCAUUGAAGGGUUCGUUGGUUCCGGGUCUUUUACUUUGAGAAAAUUAGAGUGUUCAAAGCAGGCCUAUGCUCUGAAUAGGUUAGCAUGGAAUAAUAGAAUAGGACUUUGGUUCUAUUUUGUUGGUUUCUAGGACCGAAGUAAUGAUUAAUAGGGACAAUUGGGGGCAUUCGUAUCAACACGUUAGAGGUGAAAUUCUUGGAUCGUGUUGCGACGAACUACUGCGAAAGCAUUUGCCAAGGAUGUUUUCAUUGAUCAAGAACGAAAGUAAGGGGAUCGAAGACGAUUAGAUACCAU